UCCGGCAGCUAGCUGUCUGCAACUCUCACAUGAUCGCCCACUGAAGCUAAGUAGGGCUGCGCCCGGUCAGUACCUGGAUGGAAGACCACAUGGGAAAGCUAGGUUGCUGCCAGAA
RNAcentral lists this ribosomal RNA (115 nucleotides) under Danio rerio (zebrafish). The record is from RNAcentral. Lineage: Eukaryota; Metazoa; Chordata; Actinopteri; Cypriniformes; Danionidae.